This 870-nucleotide long non-coding RNA is filed under the name Medicago truncatula (barrel medic). Its description in RNAcentral is "lncRNA gene40758". Lineage: Eukaryota; Viridiplantae; Streptophyta; Magnoliopsida; Fabales; Fabaceae. The record is from RNAcentral.
UGCUUCCUUAGUUGUAUCCAAAUAAUGUUGGUUUGUUACACUGAUUAUCCAAAAAGAAUAAAAAAUGCUUAAAAAAACUUGUUAUAUUUUUUUCAAAUAAUGUUUGUUCUGUACUAUUAUUCUGUCAUAAGGUACUCCAAGAUUUUAGAAGGAUGCUGCAGAGACAUUGAGGCAUGGUUACUUAGUUUUGGCGGGGAACAAAUGAAAAGAAGCGCAAAAUUCAUUCGAUAAAUUGGGGCGAGCGAAAAACAAAGGACGACUCGGAUUUAGUGUCAGAUUUUUUUUUAUUAUUAUUUUGUCGGCUACAAUCAACCGUAGGUUUUGGUCUUAUUAAAAUAUAAUAAUGUUGUGGUCCAUUUGUUGAUGCUUAGGUCCGAUAAACAUGAUCAAUUGAUAAUGAAUGUAGCUGCUGUAUUUUAUUUCUUUUAUUAUAAAGAAAAUGAAUAUCUAAUAGAUUCAUUAGUUGUGUGCUUAUAAUUGUAUGCAUAAUAGAAAAUGAUAAUACCAUUAAAAUGCUUGAUAAUAUAUGUUCACUUGCGAAAUGUAGGACUAUAGAUAAAGGAUAAAUAUGCUGUAUCAAAAAACUAGAAUAAAUGAUAAAUGAUUACAUUAUAGAAUCAUUUUUUGAGGGAACAUUAUAGAAUCAUAUUUCCUUUACUAACCUACUAAACAUUAGGACAACGACACAUGAACCCAGCAAUACAUUUUGGUAAUUCAGACUUGUUUCUACAUAAAAGAGAUGGACAAUCACUGUCCUGAGUGCACUUGUGAAAGAAUUCAAAAAAGUUUCCACUUACAACAAGAGUUAUAUGAAUAAAUAGGAUCAUAGCAUAUAAAAACUUGUGAAUUGUACCCAUAUUUUAUUUCUUC